GUUUUAAUAGUUUAAAAAAAACGCCGGUCUUGUAAGUCGGAAAUAAGGUCAGCCCCCCCUUUUAAAACU
This 69-nucleotide transfer RNA is filed under the name Ceracris fasciata fasciata. RNAcentral's name for it is "tRNA-Thr". It matches the Rfam family "tRNA". Rfam says of the family: Transfer RNA (tRNA) molecules are approximately 80 nucleotides in length. Their secondary structure includes four short double-helical elements and three loops (D, anti-codon, and T loops). Lineage: Eukaryota; Metazoa; Arthropoda; Insecta; Orthoptera; Acrididae. The record is from RNAcentral.